Long non-coding RNA from Syzygium oleosum, 778 nucleotides. RefSeq lists it as uncharacterized. The record is from RefSeq and is a predicted model, not a curated record. The transcript has 2 exons. Lineage: Eukaryota; Viridiplantae; Streptophyta; Magnoliopsida; Myrtales; Myrtaceae.
UGCUAUGUUCUUGUCGACAACACGCCGUAGGUAAAGCGAAGACGCGCAUGUUACGCUUUCUUGAAAUCUAAGCAAGAAGCUGCUUUCUUUUCCUAUAAUAGAACACGCGGAAACGCGAGCGACCCACUUCGACAUCCGAGAUUUUGUGGACAGAAAUGCACAGCACAGUGUAGUACCAUGAAAGGUCACCGAAAGAACUUGUUUUCGAAAGGGACGACAAGAACAUUGUGUAGAAGAGGGUCAUGACUGACUCACCGGGGUCGCCAUAGACGGCGCUCACGAGUUGCAGAGAGACCUUCUGACCCAACAGCUCGUGGAUGCUAUCGAGGACCGACGCAUUGAAGUCAUUGAAGUCGAGGACGUUCUUCUUCAUCAGCACCACGGUCCCCCUGACCUUCUUGGACCCGCCCGCCUUGUCGCCGCCAUCGAGGGCGUGCAGUAUCCCGUGAAACACCUUAUCCAUUCCGAAGAAUUUAUGAAACCUUUCUUGCGAAGUCGAUGGGAUGAAAGGAAGAGAAGGAUCGGUAAUGAAAAGGAUGAAGAAGGGGGUGCGUUGCGAUGGAGGUAUUUAUAAAGGAAAAGUUCGACCCUAUGGCAUCACCAAGAAGCUUCGCUCGUCUACGGGAGACUUGGAAUUUCUUUCCUUUUUUACCUUGUUCCUUUUUUCCACGGUCUUAAAGACGUAUUUUCAUGUAUACUUAAUAGGAAAUAUUUGAUUUGUAAAGCAAAAGAAGUGGAUCAGUCCCUUGAAAACCUAACUUUCCUCAUUUGAUUGCAA